Erpetoichthys calabaricus (reedfish) is the source of this 952-nucleotide long non-coding RNA. RefSeq lists it as uncharacterized. NCBI's taxonomy places the organism in Eukaryota, Metazoa, Chordata, Cladistia, Polypteriformes, Polypteridae. The record is from RefSeq and is a predicted model, not a curated record. The transcript is spliced from 2 exons.
UGCUGCACAGUAAAAAUGAUGAUGAUGAAGGUGAUAAUCCCCUGAAUGCAGUAGCAAGAGCAUGUUAACGCUGAAUGAGUGAGAUGAGACUUCCUGGUUAAUGCAGCACUCCGUCGCUGAGCCAAUCAGCAGCAGCACAGGAACUUAACUACGUGCUCUGAUUGGGUAGCUUCUCAGGCAUCCGCCAAUAGCAUCUCUUGUAUGAAAUCAACUGGGCAAACCAACUGAGGAAGCAAAUACCAGAAGUAAAAAGACCCAUUGUCCGCAGAAACCCGCGAAGCAGCGAAAAAUCCGCGUUAUAUAUUUAGAUAUGCUUACAUAUAAAAUCUGCGAAGUCAUGAAUCCGCGAAAAGUGAACCGCGAAGUAGCGAGGACUUACUGUAGUAGAUAAAUCUAAAUAAUACAUUUUAGAAGACAUUUUUUCUCUGUGAUUUAGCCGCUUACCCCUUGAUGUCGACUUUUGCGGAUACCUGACUUUUUUACCUUUUAUGUCAACUAUUGAGUGUUAGGGUUCAUCUCACUUUUAUAGUAUUAUUAAUAAGGUACUUAUGGUCUAACGGAUCAAUUCAAGUGAACCAAACUGGUAUAAUACAUCAAAAAUUGUUGCUGAACAAUACUUACUCUUUAGUGACCCCACAACAGACAGACUGACAUCAACCCCCAUGUUUCUCACACUUGGGGUUUUGGGUGGUGGCUAGGCUGUAUUACUACUUAUUUUGCCAAGUGCAUAUAGAAUUACAAAAUAGCUUGCACCUAUACAAUGUAUAUAAGUAAAUCUUACAAUUUUGUAGCACUGUCACAGAAAUUUAACCCUCUAUCAUACUUUCUAUCAUGCUUUUUUUUUUUUUUUGUCUUUUCCCUUUAUUUGUGUAUUGAAGGGUGGAUGGUUAGUGAAGGGCUGCAUCUGCAUAAAGGAGGGAAAAAAAUCCGUCAAGGAUAUACCUUCACUUAA